UUUGGGAGCUUGCUCCUGAUGAGAGUGGCGCACGGGUGCGUAACACGUAUGUAACCUACCUUAAUCUGGGGGAUAGCCUCUCGAAAGAGAGAUUAACACCGCAUAACAUCGCCGUAUAGCAUUUUACAGCGAUCAAAUAUUUAUAGGAUUAAGAUGGGCAUGCGGAACAUUAGCUAGUUGGUAAGGUAAUGGCUUACCAAGGCUACGAUGUUUAGGGGAUCUGAGAGGAUGACCCCCCACACUGGUACUGAGACACGGACCAGACUCCUACGGGAGGCAGCAGUAAGGAAUAUUGGUCAAUGGGCGCAAGCCUGAACCAGCCAUGCCGCGUGCAGGAAGACGGCCCUACGGGUUGUAAACUGCUUUUAUACCGGAAUAAACCUUGAUACGUGUAUCGAGCUGAAUGUACGGUAAGAAUAAGGAUCGGCUAACUCCGUGCCAGCAGCCGCGGUAAUACGGAGGAUCCAAGCGUUAUCCGGAUUUAUUGGGUUUAAAGGGUGCGUAGGCGGCCUGUUAAGUCAGGGGUGAAAGACGGUAGCUUAACUAUCGCAGUGCCUUUGAUACUGACGGGCUUGAAUACACUUGAGGUAGGCGGAAUGUGACAAGUAGCGGUGAAAUGCAUAGAUAUGUCACAGAACACCAAUUGCGAAGGCAGCUUACUAAAGUGUGAUUGACGCUGAGGCACGAAAGCGUGGGGAUCAAACAGGAUUAGAUACCCUGGUAGUCCACGCCCUAAACGAUGAAUACUCGAUGUUGGCGAUAUACGGUCAGCGUCUAAGCGAAAGCGUUAAGUAUUCCACCUGGGGAGUACGCCCGCAAGGGUGAAACUCAAAGGAAUUGACGGGGGCCCGCACAAGCGGAGGAGCAUGUGGUUUAAUUCGAUGAUACGCGAGGAACCUUACCCGGGCUUGAAAGUUAGUGAAUGAGACAGAGACGUCUCAGUCCUUCGGGACACGAAACUAGGUGCUGCAUGGCUGUCGUCAGCUCGUGCCGUGAGGUGUUGGGUUAAGUCCCGCAACGAGCGCAACCCCUAUGUUUAGUUGCCAGCACGUUAAGGUGGGGACUCUAAACAGACUGCCUAUGCAAAU
Molecule: ribosomal RNA, 1088 nt
Filed under: Mucilaginibacter sp. G03 45-6
Lineage: Bacteria; Pseudomonadati; Bacteroidota; Sphingobacteriia; Sphingobacteriales; Sphingobacteriaceae
Description: bacterial SSU rRNA
Rfam family: Bacterial small subunit ribosomal RNA
Source: RNAcentral